CGCCCGCUCAGAAACUUAAAGGAAUUGACGGGGGCCCCGCACAAGCGGAGGAGCAUGUGGUUUAAUUCGAUGAUACGCGAGGAACCUUUACCUGGGCUCGAACGUAAGAUGACUGUAGGUGAAAGCUUACAUCUCUUCGGAGCAUUUUACGAGGUGCUGCAUGGUUGUCGUCAGCUCGUGCCGUGAGGUGUCGGGUUAAGUCCCAUAACGAGCGCAACCCCUAUCAUUUAGUUGCCAUCAGGUCAAGCUGGGGACUCUAAUGAAACUGCCUACGCAAGUAGUGAGGAAGGUGGGGAUGACGUCAAAUCAGCACGGCCCUUACGUCCAGGGCUACACACGUGCUACAAUGGCCGAUACAGAGGGCAGCUACCUGGUGACAGGAUGCAAAUCUCCAAAGUCGGUCUCAGUUCGGAUCGGAGUCUGCAACCCGACUCCGUGAAGUUGGAUUCGCUAGUAAUCGCGCAUCAGCCAUGGCGCGGUGAAUACGUUCCCGGGCCUU
RNAcentral lists this ribosomal RNA (499 nucleotides) under uncultured Sphingobacteriales bacterium. RNAcentral describes it as "bacterial SSU rRNA". It matches the Rfam family "Bacterial small subunit ribosomal RNA", at positions 887 to 1382 of the family's 1533-position model. The record is from RNAcentral. Lineage: Bacteria; Pseudomonadati; Bacteroidota; Sphingobacteriia; Sphingobacteriales.